UCCAGAUCUGGCUCUGAUGUCCCCCAAC
RNAcentral lists this non-coding RNA (28 nucleotides) under Rattus norvegicus (Norway rat). Lineage: Eukaryota; Metazoa; Chordata; Mammalia; Rodentia; Muridae. The record is from RNAcentral.